GAUGAACGCUAGCUACAGGCUUAACACAUGCAAGUCGAGGGGUAGCAGGGUAGCAAUACCGCUGACGACCGGCGCACGGGUGAGUAACACGUAUCCAAUCUACCGUUUACUCGGGGAUAGCCUUUCGAAAGAAAGAUUAAUACACGAUAGUAUAAAGAGUUCGCAUGUUCUCUUUAUUAAAGGAUGCCGGUAAAUGUUGGGGAUGCGUUCCAUUAGAUUGUUGGCGUGGUAACGGCCCAACAAGUCUUCGAUGGAUAGGGGUGCUGUGAGGAAGGUCCCCCACAUUGGAACUGAGACACGGUCCAAACUCCUACGGGAGGCAGCAGUGAGGAGUAUUGGUCAAUGGGCGUUAGCCUGAACCAGCCAAGUAGCGUGAAGGAUGACUGCCCUAUGGGUUGUAAACUUCUUUUAUAAGGGAAUAAAACGGGGAACGUGUUCCCCUUUGCAUGUACCUUACGAAUAAGGAUCGGCUAACUCCGUGCCAGCCGCCGCAGUAA
Molecule: ribosomal RNA, 497 nt
Filed under: uncultured bacterium
Lineage: Bacteria
Description: partial 16S ribosomal RNA
Rfam family: Bacterial small subunit ribosomal RNA
Source: RNAcentral